RNAcentral lists this ribosomal RNA (498 nucleotides) under uncultured bacterium. RNAcentral describes it as "bacterial SSU rRNA". It matches the Rfam family "Bacterial small subunit ribosomal RNA", at positions 899 to 1397 of the family's 1533-position model. The record is from RNAcentral.
ACUCAAAUGAAUUGACGGGGGCCCGCACAAGCAGUGGAGUAUGUGGUUUAAUUCGAAGCAACGCGAAGAACCUUACCAGGGCUUGACAUCCCUAGAAAGCGCACGAGAGUGCGCCGUGCCUUCGGGAACUAGGUGACAGGUGGUGCAUGGUUGUCGUCAGCUCGUGUCGUGAGAUGUUGGGUUAAGUCCCGCAACGAGCGCAACCCUUAUUGUUAGUUGCUAACAUUCAGUUGAGCACUCUAACGAGACUGCCGUUGACAAAACGGAGGAAGGAGAGGAUGAUGUCAAAUCAUCAUGCCCCUUAUGUCCUGGGCUACACACGUACUACAAUGGCUGUUUAACAACGGGAAGCCAAGGCGCGAGCCGGAGCAAAUCCCCAAAAGCAGCCCCAGUUCGGAUUGCAGGCUGAAACUCGCCUGCAUGAAGUUGGAAUUGCUAGUAAUCGCGGAUCAGCAUGCCGCGGUGAAUACGUUCCCGGGCCUUGCACACACCGCCCGU